RNAcentral lists this unclassified non-coding RNA (253 nucleotides) under uncultured Anaerolineales bacterium. RNAcentral's name for it is "contains 16S-23S intergenic spacer region". It matches the Rfam family "Bacterial small subunit ribosomal RNA", at positions 524 to 776 of the family's 1533-position model. The record is from RNAcentral. Lineage: Bacteria; Bacillati; Chloroflexota; Anaerolineae; Anaerolineales.
AACGUAGGAUCCGAGCGUUAUCCGAAUUUACUGGGCGUAAAGCGCGUGCAGGCGGUUUGGUAAGUUGGAUGUGAAAGCUCCCGGCUCAACUGGGAGAGGCCGUUCAAAACUGCCAGACUAGAGGGUGGUAGAGGGAGGUGGAAUUCCCGGUGUAGUGGUGAAAUGCGUAGAUAUCGGGAGGAACACCAGUGGCGAAGGCGGCCUCCUGGACCAUUCCUGACGCUCAGACGCGAAAGCUAGGGUAGCAAACGGG